UUAUCGGGGAAGGAUUAGCCCGCGUUGGAUUAGCUAGUUGGUGGGGUAAAGGCCUACCAAGGCGACGAUCCAUAGCUGGUCUGAGAGGAUGAUCAGCCACAUUGGGACUGAGACACGGCCCAAACUCAUACGGGAGGCAGCAGUGGGGAAUAUUGGACAAUGGGCGCAAGCCUGAUCCAGCCAUGCCGCGUGAGUGAUGAAGGCCUUAGGGUUGUAAAGCUCUUUCACCGGAGAAGAUAAUGACGGUAUCCGGAGAAGAAGCCCCGGCUAACUUCGUGCCAGCAGCCGCGGUAAUACGAAGGGGGCUAGCGUUGUUCGGAAUUACUGGGCGUAAAGCGCACGUAGGCGGAUA
This 352-nucleotide ribosomal RNA is filed under the name uncultured Agrobacterium sp. Its description in RNAcentral is "bacterial SSU rRNA". It matches the Rfam family "Bacterial small subunit ribosomal RNA", at positions 212 to 581 of the family's 1533-position model. The record is from RNAcentral. Lineage: Bacteria; Pseudomonadati; Pseudomonadota; Alphaproteobacteria; Hyphomicrobiales; Rhizobiaceae.